RNAcentral lists this long non-coding RNA (249 nucleotides) under Setaria italica (foxtail millet). RNAcentral describes it as "long non-coding RNA (SITA_LNC002404)". The record is from RNAcentral. Lineage: Eukaryota; Viridiplantae; Streptophyta; Magnoliopsida; Poales; Poaceae.
CAUCAACAAGGAAAGAGAUUACCUUUAACCCGCUGAUUCAAUGACUUGUUCCGGCCAUCGAGGUGAUCCUUUUCUUCGUUCAGUUGCUGGAUUUUAUUUUGAAGACCAGCAAUGACUCCGUCAUGUUUCAUCAUUAACCAGGAGAUGAAAAGCUUCUCCUUGUCUAAUUCCUUCUCAAGAGCUUCAGCACGGAGUACCGUGUCCCCGUAGCCUUCCAAUAUUGCAGUAUUGCAGUAAGAGCGCUUGAUA